UCCUUUUGUUACAGGCGUGAAUGGAGCGGGUCUGCCAGUCCGUCCAAUACAAAGUGUCUCCGGACAACGUCAGGGCGAACGGAUUUCUUUAGAACGACUGCCAAAAUCUCAGCAUCCAAAGCUGUGUUGCAGGACAAGAAGAUUCAAGCUGGAUAAUGGAGUCUUCAGUAUUUCUUGCUCUUAGCUUCAGUGCAGAGCAAUAGAUUCCACUCUUCUGUGAUGGCAACAAUUGUCUAACUCACUUUUUAGAAAAACGCGUUACUUUAUCACAGGAAUACAGCGUCACUUGCUUCUCAGGAAAAGAACAAAAAACAAACAAGRAAAAACAACCCACAGUGAACUGCAUCAACAGAAAGACUUGAGCACUGUGAGGCUGCUGUCAAUGGAACCCAAGCACCUACUUUGACCUCUCCUGAACACCAAAAUAAUCCCAGUAGCUGGGCAGGCCCUAUUCAAGGCAGCAUCAUUCUGUUUUUCUCAUCCAAUCAGACCAAGAGCAUUUUAUUAACCAUCUAUAAAUGAGCUGCUGUGUAGCACUCAGUACGACUACCACUACUACUCAGCAGACUAUUCCUUUAAACUACGUGAAGAAAAGAGCUCUGGUGCAGAAGGCAGAAGUUGGCUUCUUCGGCAGGAUGUUUCACUGCAGAUGAUGCCUAACCUACUCAUCAACCAUGGCAGAGAAUUGAAAGUACCAACUGAAACAUCCGAAACAAGCCCCUUCAGACAGGGGCACACUCUGCCUCUCCCCGGUGGGGACACCUAGACCA
This is a long non-coding RNA of Nothoprocta perdicaria, 770 nucleotides long. RefSeq lists it as uncharacterized. NCBI's taxonomy places the organism in Eukaryota, Metazoa, Chordata, Aves, Tinamiformes, Tinamidae. The transcript is spliced from 2 exons. The record is from RefSeq and is a predicted model, not a curated record.